AUGAACGUGUUCUGGGUCACCGGUGUGUCCACGGGAAUGAUUGCUCCUGAACAGGAGAAGGUGUUCAGGGAGGCAACCACUGUGUUUCUCAGACCAGUUGUUAGCGUGAUCGGAGAUAAAUUGGUCGACGCAUAUUUGCAUGUGCAUGUCGCCAAGGACUUGUGGGAGGCGCUCGAAUCUAAGUUCGGGGCCGCCGAUGCAGGGAGCGAGAUGUAUAUUGUAGAGCAGUUCCAUGAUUACAAGAUGGUUGAGAACCGUCCUGUACUGGAGCAGGCUCAUGAGAUAAUAUGCGUUGUUAAGGAGCUUGAGCUUCUGAAGUGCGAGUUACCGGGCAAGUUUGUCGCGGGCUGCCUAAUCGCUAAGCUCCCUAAUUCCUGGAGGAACUUUGCCACCACUCUGAAACAUCAGAGGCGUGAACUCUCUAUGGAGGAUGUCAUUGGCCAUCUGAGUGUUGAGCAGAAUUCGAGGGCAAAGGACUCGCACGGAAAAGGGGCCGAAGGGACUUCUGUUGCCAACAUGGUGAACCAGAGGAACUUCAACUCCCACAAGCCCAAGGGAAAGAAUGGUGUCCAACAGAAUACCGACUUCAAGAAGGGUAAGAAGACCUUCAAGAAGAACAAGAAGGAUGAGGGCUGCUUUACUUGUGGUUCGGUUGAACAUUGGGCCAACAAGUGCCCAAACAAGUUUAAGAAGUCAGGACAAGACUCCAAGUCCGUCAACAUGAUUGUGGGCAACAAUGAGAAUGGUGCAUCUGGGUCACAGGCCACGGGUCCGUAUUGA
RNAcentral lists this ribosomal RNA (780 nucleotides) under Triticum aestivum (bread wheat). RNAcentral's name for it is "partial small subunit ribosomal RNA". Lineage: Eukaryota; Viridiplantae; Streptophyta; Magnoliopsida; Poales; Poaceae. The record is from RNAcentral.